CCUACGGCGGCAGCAGUGGGGAAUAUUGGACAAUGGGCGAAAGCCUGAUCCAGCCAUGCCGCGUGUGUGAAGAAGGCCUUCGGGUUGUAAAGCACUUUCAGUGGGGAAGAAAGCCUUGGGGCUAAUACCCUCGAGGAAGGACAUCACCCACAGAAGAAGCACCGGCUAACUCCGUGCCAGCAGCCGCGGUAAUACGGAGGGUGCGAGCGUUAAUCGGAAUUACUGGGCGUAAAGCGCGCGUAGGCGGUCUGAUAAGCCGGUUGUGAAAGCCCCGGGCUCAACCUGGGAACGGCAUCCGGAACUGUCAGGCUAGAGUGCAGGAGAGGAAGGUAGAAUUCCCGGUGUAGCGGUGAAAUGCGUAGAGAUCGGGAAGAAUACCAGUGGCGAAGGCGGCCUUCUGGACUGACACUGACGCUGAGGUGCGAAAGCGUGGGUAGCAAACAGGAUUAGAUACCCGAAUAGUC
This 464-nucleotide ribosomal RNA is filed under the name Vreelandella stevensii. RNAcentral's name for it is "partial 16S ribosomal RNA". It matches the Rfam family "Bacterial small subunit ribosomal RNA", at positions 338 to 795 of the family's 1533-position model. Lineage: Bacteria; Pseudomonadati; Pseudomonadota; Gammaproteobacteria; Oceanospirillales; Halomonadaceae. The record is from RNAcentral.